UGAGAACUAUCAGCCACAUCCUCCUUUAUA
Molecule: non-coding RNA, 30 nt
Filed under: Homo sapiens (human)
Lineage: Eukaryota; Metazoa; Chordata; Mammalia; Primates; Hominidae
Source: RNAcentral